UACGGAGGGUGCAAGCGUUAUCCGGAAUCACUGGGUUUAAAGGGUGCGUAGGCGGCCAGAUAAGUCAGUCGUGAAAUGUAUCGGCUCAACCGAUAAGCUGCGAUUGAUACUGUUUGGCUUGAAUGAGGUUGAGGCAGGCGGAAUGUGGCAUGUAGCGGUGAAAUGCUUAGAUAUGCCAUAGAACACCGAUUGCGAAGGCAGCUUGCUGGGCCUUCAUUGACGCUGAGGCACGAAAGCGUGGGGAGCAAACAGG
Molecule: ribosomal RNA, 253 nt
Filed under: uncultured bacterium
Lineage: Bacteria
Description: partial 16S ribosomal RNA
Rfam family: Bacterial small subunit ribosomal RNA
Source: RNAcentral